RNAcentral lists this unclassified non-coding RNA (381 nucleotides) under soil metagenome. Its description in RNAcentral is "partial contains 5.8S ribosomal RNA, internal transcribed spacer 2, and large subunit ribosomal RNA". The stretch from base 1 to 120 matches the Rfam family "5.8S ribosomal RNA", at positions 35 to 154 of the family's 154-position model. The record is from RNAcentral.
GAUGAAGAACGUAGCGAAAUGCGAUAAGUAAUGUGAAUUGCAGAAUUCAGUGAAUCAUCGAAUCUUUGAACGCACCUUGCACCCUUUGGCAUUCCGAAGGGUAUGCUCGUUUGAGUGUCAUUGUACUCUCACACUUCUGAUCCUUUGGAUUGGGAGCGGUGGACUUGGGUGUUGCUGCUUUACUGUGGCUCACCUCAAAUGCAUUCGUGCAACUCUUGGUUGGACAUAGUACGGCGUGAUAAGUAUCUUCGCCGGCACCUCGCAAGAGGGUGGCUGAUCAGGAGCUCUGUGCUUUCCAACUGUCUUCAGACAACAACUGACAACUUGACCUCAAAUCGAGUAGGACCACCCGCUGAACUUAAGCAUAUCAUAAGCGGAGGA